UACGGUGGGAGCAAGCGUUGUUCGGAUUUACUGGGCGUAAAGGGCUCGUAGGCGGCCAACUAAGUCCGACGUGAAAUCCCCAGGCUUAACCUGGGAACUGCGUCGGAUACUGGAUGGCUUGAAUCCGGGAGAGGGAUGCGGAAUUCCAGGUGUAGCGGUGAAAUGCGUAGAUAUCUGGAGGAACACCGGUGGCGAAGGCGGCAUCCUGGACCGAUACUGACGCUGAGGAGCGAAAGCCAGGGGAGCAAACGGG
This 253-nucleotide ribosomal RNA is filed under the name uncultured bacterium. RNAcentral's name for it is "partial 16S ribosomal RNA". It matches the Rfam family "Bacterial small subunit ribosomal RNA", at positions 524 to 776 of the family's 1533-position model. The record is from RNAcentral.